Molecule: unclassified non-coding RNA, 199 nt
Filed under: uncultured Tomentella
Lineage: Eukaryota; Fungi; Basidiomycota; Agaricomycetes; Thelephorales; Thelephoraceae
Description: sequence contains ITS1
Source: RNAcentral
CUGAAUUGUCGACACGAGUUGUUGCUGGCCCUCAAAUGGGGGCAUGUGCACACUCUGUUUGCACAUCCACUCACACCUGUGCACUCUCUGUAGUUCUAUGGCCUGGGGGACUCUGUCCUCCUGCUGUGGUUCUAUGUCUUUACACACACACUGUAAUAAAGUCUCAUGGAAUGCAUGUCGCGUUUAACGCAAUACAAUA